UAUCCCAGGCUUUCCAUCAUUGCCCUUACUGAGAAUCAUUUGCAACACAUCAGUAGCGUGAAUCAUCAGAUCAGUCCUUCAAGCAGGGAAACCAACAAUUACGCUUGGCCCUGAGUGCUCAGGGAGGAGGACGCAGGUGCCAGGUUGGCAUGAAGAGGUGGAGAGACUUCUCCAGGGGGCUCCAUCCUGCCCCUACUUCCAUUCUCCAGGUGAUUCUUCGUGGGCUCCUGGAUGGCCUCAGGAUGGGUCUGGUUGCCAGGGAAGCAACCUCGUGAUUAGAGGAUUGGAACUUUCAUCCCCACCUCCAAGCGUCCGGGGAGAGCAGAAGGGCUGACGACUGAGUUGAUAACCAAUGGCCAACGAUGUUACCCAUGAACGUACCCAUCCCACUAUCAGGCCUGAACUCUCUGAGGCAGAUGGAAUUCUCCUUGAAGGCUCACCAGGAGUAGGAACCAGAAAGCUUGUUCUGCUAAACCUGGAAGAUCAGCACCAUGAGACGGGGAAGGUGGAUGGAGGGGUGAUUUGUCUAAAGUGCCAAAAAAAGGCUUUGUUCUGCUCAUAGUUUGAAAAAAAAAAUGUGUCCAUUGCU
Molecule: long non-coding RNA, 589 nt
Filed under: Homo sapiens (human)
Lineage: Eukaryota; Metazoa; Chordata; Mammalia; Primates; Hominidae
Description: HSALNT0179443
Source: RNAcentral